This 374-nucleotide ribosomal RNA is filed under the name uncultured organism. RNAcentral describes it as "partial 16S ribosomal RNA". It matches the Rfam family "Bacterial small subunit ribosomal RNA", at positions 527 to 896 of the family's 1533-position model. The record is from RNAcentral.
GUAGGUGGCAAGCGUUGUCCGGAAUUAUUGGGCGUAAAGCGCGCGCAGGCGGUCCUUUAAGUCUGAUGUGAAAGCCCACGGCUCAACCGUGGAGGGUCAUUGGAAACUGGGGGACUUGAGUACAGAAGAGGAAAGCGGAAUUCCAAGUGUAGCGGUGAAAUGCGUAGAGAUUUGGAGGAACACCAGUGGCGAAGGCGGCCUUCUGGUCUGUAACUGACGCUGAGGCGCGAAAGCGUGGGGAGCAAACAGGAUUAGAUACCCUGGUAGUCCACGCCGUAAACGAUGAGUGCUAAGUGUUAGGGGGUUUCCCGCCCCCUUAGUGCUGCAGCUAACGCAUUAAGCACUCCGCCUGGGGGAGUACGGCCGCAAGGCUG